This 4749-nucleotide long non-coding RNA is filed under the name Volvox carteri. Its description in RNAcentral is "long non-coding RNA (VCAR_LNC003020)". Lineage: Eukaryota; Viridiplantae; Chlorophyta; Chlorophyceae; Chlamydomonadales; Volvocaceae. The record is from RNAcentral.
CUUCGCUUACAAAGCUAUGAGAUUGUGUGAAGAAGGGGGCAAUAGCUUCAUCCGUGGCCACCACUAGCCUGGCAGUGUUUACCUUCCCGGGUGUGUUUGGGUGCACCCUCAUGCUUCUGACCCAUGCCGACUUCUGAAACGUCAGUGGCAUUUUCGGGUCCAGCACGCACCAUCAGCACAUCCGGUGGAAUCUGUGCCUGGAAUCAACGGCGGCAGCAGCAAGUUACCACUCCGGGUCGGCUUUUGCAGGUGUGUCGCUACACCAGUGGUUCCAUCAUCUCGGCCAUCAGCAAUGGAAUCGAUUGGCAUCCAUCCAGCCUCUUCUGUUCAAGAAUCUGUCCCGGGAUCACUUCCAAAAGAGCCUUCCCGGGACAGCACACUCUGUACCUUCCUUCCUUAUCACCUUCCCCAGCAUAAAGCCUGUCGUGUUUCAAUGGGUUGAGUGCACGUGCACACAGUAAUAGUUCUGUCCGUUGGAGUCGGAGGGCAUCGAUCCCCCUACCUCCCGCACAUCAUCUGCGGCGCUCAGCAUCGCAUGCUAAGUGGGCGCUCUACCAUUUGAGCUACGACCCCUGCACAUCCUCACCUCUCUGCGCUCGAUGACGGGAUCGAACCGUCGACCUUACGGUUAACAGCCGUGCGCUCUACCGACUGAGCUAACCAGAGCAGGUCUGGCAGAUGGAUGUACGGCAGCAGCAAGCAUACGCGUUGCACGCCACAUGCCGUACUGUACGAGUGCUACGGCUGAAGCUGUGCACCGUGCCGUACGACAAAAGAACAGAAAAAAUGCGAUGCGAUUAGGUUGAUACAACCUACUGCAUACCAAGGCGCAGGUAAUGCGUCAGCAACCAGCUGCAAACAGGGCUCUAUCGAUGUAUUGGUCGGGUCCGUGCCGUCAGUGCACACCAGCAUAACACAUAAGAAAUGGGGACCUGCAAUUCAUUCAUGCAAAAAAUGUANNNNNNNNNNNNNNNNNNNNNNNNNNNNNNNNNNNNNNNNNNNNNNNNNNNNNNNNNNNNNNNNNNNNNNNNNNNNNNNNNNNNNNNNNNNNNNNNNNNNNUGCGGAAGUACGUCGGUGAAAUAUAAUGUGGUAGGACUGGAGAGAAUAGUGUAGCAGUAUAAUGUAUUGUGAGUGUAGCUGAAGCUUUCAUCGUGGGCGCGUCUCGUUGCAAGCUAAGCAACGCGUAUACAUGACGUGUAGCAUCAGUCCUCAGUUCACUUCUUGUAACGAACAUCAGCAUAGGUCCAAGCCCUCUCGCUUGGAGGGAUAUAUGCAAACAAACAUCCUGAUAGGUAAACUCGCAUGCUACCGAGCAUUCAACCGAGCACAUGCAUGCUUAGUUGAAUGGUGAGAUGCGACCCCCCUUCAUUUCGUGCUCGGCAAGCCUGCCACCGCGUACCGGAUAUGUUGGCGAUGUUACAGAGAUGCUGCACCUUGGUUUCUGUGCGCAAUGCAUACGAUGCUCGACCCCGCCGACCAAAACUACACGUGCCCAACUGAAGACACACCGGUGGUUGUGCAGCAGCUCUUGAGGCUUUGUUGGCUGAAAUCCAUCCUGAGACGCUGCACCUCGGUACCUGUGCGCAAUGCGUACGCUGCUCGCCCGCGCCGACCAAAACUACAUGUUCCCAUCUGAAGACAAUGCCUGUGGUUCUUAAACAGAAUUUGAGCUUGCUGCUGGCUCAAGUCCUUCCGUAGUAGCUGCAACACGGCUAACGCAGGCACGGCCGAAUGCGCUGCGAAAAGCUGUUCCAAGCCCUCAGCGGCAUCCAUUUUACUUGCUAGGUUCUGAACGACUUUCGCGAUUCUUCUCUUUACCUAAUUCUGCGUUGUUAUUAUUUAUUUCGUAAGAGUGUAACUUGAGUUUAGUCGGAACAAUGUGCAUUAUGCGCUGUGCUACCGAAAGCAGGCGCCUUAUGGCUGAUUCUUAGCCGACCGCUUCAUCUUCCGCGGCAGUUUCACGAGCCCAGAGUUGCAAGCUAGGACGUUGGCAUUCGGUGCUUUCAGUUACUGCAAAGCAUCCAGGCAAUAGUCCAGCAUGCAUGCCGCGUGCGGCUAUGGCCAACAUGCCCACUUGCGCAAGGCGCUGGCGCACGUGGUCCUCAUCCGCCAAGAAAAUUUAUAUACACUUGUACAGGCGCAUUUUGUGAAUCGCACGCGCGCAUCUGCGCGGCAAAAUUCGCUCCUGGAAUUUUUGGACGAUGUACGGAUGUUUUAUUCGCGAAGUACGACCGGACACAUUUGUGCGAGAGGCUGCUUAAAGAACAGAAAAAAUGCGAUGCGAUUAGUAUUGUAUUGUAUUGUGGUUACAGUAUUUCCGCCGCCGACGCGGCGGGUGCCCUCACGAGCCGUGAGGCUCCAGAGCACGCUGUUGACGCUCAUCAAAAACCUCAGUAAGGAAAGUAGCGAUUUUCCUCGGAUUGGUAUUAAGAAAUACCUUGCGCAUAUCAGUAUCUUCAACGUUAAUCAGAAACCUAUUACGCAACUCAGUAUACGCCUCACACUCCAUGAGCACAUGGUAUUCAUCCUCAACCUUACCCGACGUACAGACCUGACACGUACGGCACUCUCUCGGCCUAUGGUGUCCUUUGUUGACCUCCAAAGGCCAACAACAAAGACGGAAUUUGGCAACCAUACGCAACUGGUUGGCCGGCAAAUAAACACGCAAAUAGCCUGUGGGAUCGGAGCCCUCUCUUGCUGGUGAAGGGGAGCCCAUCCAGUUAUGAUACCUGCAAAGCGAAACCCCUUUACCUUGGAACACACGCGGAUCACCCCCUUGGCUGAACUGAUCCCAGUCACUUAAAAGGAACGCAGAUAACCUCUCCAGAACCUCACCCACUCGAAUCAACUGAGACGAGUAUACAUCUACCUUCUGAGAAACGGAGUCACACGCCGGCCACUCAUGGCCCAACCAACGCAAAAUGAUGAGCACUUUAGACGACCAGCAAUCCACUUUGAGAUCAGACAGAAGAGCCAGACGGAGAUCAUCUACUAACACGUCAUGAUAGACCGACCCACGGGACUUGACUAUCUUAUUCCAGAAACACAACGCAAGGCGUAACCAAAAGUACUGCAAAGGCAACUGAGACAGCUCCCUGUACAACAGCUUGUAAGGUACCUGCUUGAGCCCAGCACAACGUAAACAGAAGUCACGCUGGACCUGGACCAUACCAUCUUCCAAAGCCAAAUCAAAAUAUGACUUACCAGCGGGUAAAACACCUUUACCUAGCCGCAGGACGGAGACAAUCCUAUCAGGACCCCAGACCUCAGCACCAUAACAGAGAACCGAACGGACCUGGGUGUCGAACGCUUGAAGCCGAACGGCAGGAGCCCACACCCUGUUCUCAUCCAACCGAUUACUAAGACCGAACAUAGCCCGUCGCCCUGCUUCCAAAAGUUCGUUGACACAACUCGCAAACGGGGACAAACGGGGACAAACGGGGACAACCUACUGCAUACCAAGGCGCAGGUAAUGCGUCAGCAACCAGCUGCAAACAGGGCUCUAUCGAUGUAUUGGUCGGGUCCGUGCCGUCAGUGCACACCAGCAUAACACAUAAGAAAUGGGGACCUGCAAUUCAUUCAUGCAAAAAAUGUAAUAAUGUAGCUGGCCGCUCGUCGCUGGCCGCCGAUUGGAAUGCUGGAAUAAAAAAAUACCCUGUGUUAGUGCAUGUAUGCCUUGAGGGGGUAGUAGCCGGCCCAGGCCGAAAAGGCCUCUCGAGAUGCGAGGAACAUGUGCUCCAGUGCGUAUUUAUGUAUGUUUUCGCGGGAAGCCUUCGUUGCAAAAAGGAAACAUAUAUAGCUGGCAAGCAAUGAAAACAGGGCCGGGUGUGGGUGCACUCCCCCGAAGCGACAACUAGGCCUGCAGACCAACUGCUUCAGGGCGGUAGUACCCAAACACCCGAAGUAACCAGCACAACCACGCACGCAAGUCCAUGCAAAUCGUACAGCGGCACUCCCAAUUCACAGGAAACCUUAGUUUUCUCGACGCUUCGCUUACAAAGCUAUGAGAUUGUGUGAAGAAGGGGGCAAUAGCUUCAUCCGUGGCCACCACUAGCCUGGCAGUGUUUACCUUCCCGGGUGUGUUUGGGUGCACCCUCAUGCUUGCUUCUGACCCAUGCCGACUUCUGAAACGUCAGUGGCAUUUUCGGGUCCAGCACGCACCAUCAGCACAUCCGGUGGAAUCUGUGCCUGGAAUCAACGGCGGCAGCAGCAAGUUUCCACUCCGGGUCGGCUUUUGCAGGUGUGUCGCUACACCAGUGGUUCCAUCAUCUCGGCCAUCAGCAAUGGAAUCGAUUGGCAUCCAUCCAGCCUCUUCUGUUCAAGAAUCUGUCCCGGGAUCACUUCCAAAAGAGCCUUCCCGGGACAGCACACUCUGUACCUUCCUUCCUUAUCACCUUCCCCAGCAUAAAGCCUGUCGUGUUUCAAUGGGUUGAGUGCACGUGCACACAGUAAUAGUUCUGUCCGUUGGAGUCGGAGGGCAUCGAUCCCCCUACCUCCCGCACAUCAUCUGCGGCGCUCAGCAUCGCAUGCUAAGCGGGCGCUCUACCAUUUGAGCUACGACCCCUGCACAUCCUCACCUCUCUGCGCUCGAUGACGGGAUCGAACCGUCGACCUUACGGUUAACAGCCGUGCGCUCUACCGACUGAGCUAACCGAGCAGGUCUGGCAGAUGGAUGUACGGCAGCAGCAAGCAUACGCGUUGCACGCCACAUGCCGUACUGUACGAGUGCUACGGCUGAAGCUGUGCAC